RNAcentral lists this long non-coding RNA (274 nucleotides) under Vigna radiata. RNAcentral describes it as "long non-coding RNA (VRAD_LNC000051)". The record is from RNAcentral. Lineage: Eukaryota; Viridiplantae; Streptophyta; Magnoliopsida; Fabales; Fabaceae.
GAUAGGCCGGCCAAAACACAAUACAACAAUGAAGUCGCUCCAUCGUUUAUGUUUUAUACUACUUAAAAUCAGAGUAAAACGAGGAAUAUAUUCUUAACAGAACAUCAAAUUAAACCCUAACCCAAAAAAAAAAACAUAAACAACAACAUAGGCUUAGAUAGUGACCCCUUACCUCACCAAUGAACUACCACCUUCAAGCAAUCACCAAUGGCGUUAUCUCCAAUCACGACAAAUGAACAGUAAUUGAACAACAAUGGCGUUCUCUCUAAUCGCG